GACGGGGGAGGCAAGCGUUAUCCGGAAUCACUGGGCGUAAAGCGUCCGUAGGCGGUGAUGCAAGUCACUGGUGCAAAACUCUGGCUCAACCGGAGGAAAGCCAGUGAAACUGCAUGACUAGAGUGUGGGAGAGGUAGAAGGAAUUCCCUGAGUAGCGGUGAAAUGCGUAGAUACAGGCAAGAACACCGGAGGCGAAAGCGCUCUACUGGAACACAACUGACACUGAGAGACGAAAGCUAGGGGAGCGAAUGGG
RNAcentral lists this ribosomal RNA (253 nucleotides) under uncultured bacterium. RNAcentral describes it as "partial 16S ribosomal RNA". It matches the Rfam family "Bacterial small subunit ribosomal RNA", at positions 524 to 776 of the family's 1533-position model. The record is from RNAcentral.